UGCACUGACGCCGCCUCACUGAGUGUCUCGGCCCUCCCCUGUGUGGGUUCAGUGGACUCUUACCUCCCGCUCUGACAGAAGGCAGCAGGGAGUCCAUUCCCCAGCCCAGGCCAGCUGCUGCCUUUGCUUCUCACUCACAGCCACCCUGGCCAGCUCUGCCGCGGCCAGCACCCACCCCCUGGGCUUAUCACGCAGGCGGGGGCGCGGGGGCCACCAGCCGGCAGGCAAAACAGGCAGCAAGAGGACAUUCGAGAAUUGACUCUGCCAGCUAGGUGUCUGUUCAGAGGACACAGAGAUCACGGAUAUUUUCCCUCCGGCCUUCUGACGACUUCACCAUGGCUGGAGAGGCCAGGCCGGGCCCUGCCCAGCAGGGCGAGAAGAGGCAUCAGGGCAC
Molecule: long non-coding RNA, 394 nt
Filed under: Mustela putorius furo (domestic ferret)
Lineage: Eukaryota; Metazoa; Chordata; Mammalia; Carnivora; Mustelidae
Description: lncRNA (ENSMPUG00000029755.1)
Source: RNAcentral